CCGCCGCCGCAGGGCCCCGCGCGGCUUCCGUCCUGGCCAAGAUGGCGGCGCCCGGGGUCCCGAGUAGCGGUCGCAGAGGGUGCCACCGCCCUCGGCGAGGUCGGGCCGCCCCGCGCGGAAGAACCGCCCCCAGCCGCCACACCAGCACCGCCACCGCCUAGCACAGCAUCCCAGGCCCCGCCCGGGACGGACGGCAGCCGCGCCAUGGAUUCUUCCAGCUCGUCCAGCUCCAGCUUUGCCGUCGGCUCCCCUAGUCCCGGCGCUGUCGUGCUCCUGUACUCGAAGGAGCUCAAAAAGUGGGAUGAGUUUGAAGAUAUGUUAGAGGAAAGGAGGCAUGUCAGUGACCUGAAGUUUGCCAUGAAGUGCUACACCCCUCUCCUGUAUAAGGGGCUCAUUCCGUGCACGCCAAACGAUAUUAAGUGUAGUGUUCUCAACUCCGAAGAGGUUUACUAUGUCAUUAAGCAGCUCUCCAGGGAGCCCCUCCAGUCCCCGGACGCCCUCCGCGAGGAAGCGUGCCAGAUCCUGGAUGAAAUGGGCCACAGGCUGCGUCUGGGAGCCAUCCGGUUUUUCGCCUUUGCCCUGAGCAAAAUAUUCAAACAGAUUUACUCCAAAGUGUGUGUCAAUGAAGAAGGUAUUCAGAAACUACAGCGAGCCAUCCAGGAGCACCCGGUUGUCCUGCUGCCCAGCCACCGAAGCUACAUCGACUUCCUGAUGUUGUCUUUCCUCCUGUACAACUAUGACCUGCCGGUCCCAGUCAUCGCGGCGGGGAUGGACUUCCUGGGGAUGAAGAUGAUCGGGGAGCUGCUGCGCAUGUCGGGCGCCUUCUUCAUGCGGCGCACCUUCGGCGGCAACAGACUCUACUGGGCUGUGUUCUCCGAAUACGUCAAAACCAUGUUGCGGAAUGGUUAUGCUCCUGUUGAAUUUUUCCUCGAAGGGACAAGAAGCCGCUCCGCCAAGACUCUGACUCCUAAAUUCGGUCUGCUGAAUAUUGUGAUGGAACCUUUUUUCAAAAGAGAAGUUUUUGACACCUACCUUGUUCCAAUUAGCAUCAGUUAUGAUAAGAUCCUGGAAGAAACCCUUUAUGUGUAUGAGCUUUUAGGGGUGCCCAAGCCAAAGGAAUCUACGACCGGAUUGCUGAAAGCCAGGAGGAUUCUCUCGGAAAACUUUGGCAGCAUCCACGUAUACUUCGGAGACCCCGUGUCGCUUCGAUCUCUGGCAGCUGGGAGGUUGAGCCGAAGCCCGUAUAACCUGGUCCCAAGGUACAUCCCUCAGAAGCAGUCAGAGGACACACAAGCCUUUGUCACUGAGGUCGCCUACAGGAUGCAGCUCCUGCAGAUCCAGAACCUGGUGCUGAGCCCGUGGGUCCUGGUGGCCACCGUCCUGCUGCAGCACCGGCCGGCCAUGGACUUCGACGCCCUGAUGGAGAAGACGCUGUGGCUGAAGGGCUUAACCCUGGCCUUCGGGGGCUUCCUCAUGUGGCCCGACAAUGAACCCGCUGACGAGGUGAUCCAGUCCAGCCUCCUCCUGCACUCCAACAUCGUCAGCCUCGACAGGGACCGCGUGGUUCUGAAAGUGGACGCCAGGGACUCGGAGGUGGUGGACGGCCUCAUCUACCAGCACAUCACGCUGCUCAUGUGCUCGGCUUACAGGAACCAGCUGCUUAAUGUCUUCGUCCGGCCCUCCUUGGUGGCUCUGGCGCUGCAGGUGGCUGGCGGGGGCAGGAAAGAGGACGUCUACUGCUCCUUCCGCUUCCUGCGUGAUGUCCUGUCGGACGAGUUCAUCUUCCUUCCGGGAAACGCAGUGAAGGACUUUGAAGAAGGCUGCUACCUGCUUUGUAAAAGCGAGACCAUUCAGGUGACAACGAAGGACAUCGUAGUGACUGAGGCGGGAAAGCCCGUGUUCGAGUUUUUAAUAGAGCUCUUCAGGCCGUUUGUGGAGUGCUACCAGAUCAUUUGCAAACACCUCCUGGAGGAGGAGAAAGACUGCUUCACGGAGAAGGAGUACCUGGCUCGGGUCAGGACGUUCACCAGCCAGCUUCUCGAUCAAGGCGCCUCGCAGUGUUACGACGUGCUGUCCUCGGACGUACAGAAAAAUGCCUUGGCAGCCCUGGUGCGGCUUGGCGUGGUGGAGAGGAAGAAGGUAAAUAACGACUGUGUAUUUAAUGUGAACGAACCCGCCGCAGCAAAGCUAGAAGAAAUGCUUGGUAAGUACAUUCAGUGAAGUGCGAUCGGUUUCCGCGUGAUGUUUGUCAACACAGAGUGAAACAAGGAAGUGUGCUACGGCACAGACACUUAUCAAAGUGGACAGAUUGUAAGACCCCAGUAGGAAAACCAGUAACUGCAAAACUUUAAUGACUGCCAAGCAGCUGUGGGACUGUGGCCGCACAAUUACUGUCAUCCAAGGACUCUUACAGCCAAUGGCGUGAAGCAAGAGCCUUUCUCCUCCCCCCGGGACCAGACCGAGGCUCCCGGGGAGGAAGGGCACCGCCUACAGCCUCGGGCGGCGUCUCCGCCCACCACAGGACUUAAAAGGCAUUUGUAUCAACUCUGUGUGUUUUAAAAUAAAAUAACCUUUUGGAAACAUGUUGGAAAACAAA
RNA transcript from Myotis myotis, 2596 nucleotides. It is a transcript of the gene named glyceronephosphate O-acyltransferase, with no coding region annotated. The transcript has 16 exons. The record is from RefSeq and is a predicted model, not a curated record. Lineage: Eukaryota; Metazoa; Chordata; Mammalia; Chiroptera; Vespertilionidae.